This 431-nucleotide ribosomal RNA is filed under the name uncultured bacterium. RNAcentral describes it as "partial 16S ribosomal RNA". It matches the Rfam family "Bacterial small subunit ribosomal RNA", at positions 29 to 506 of the family's 1533-position model. The record is from RNAcentral.
AACGAACGCUGGCGGCAUGCCUAACACAUGCAAGUCGAACGAGACCUUCGGGUCUAGUGGCGCACGGGUGCGUAACGCGUGGGAACCUGCCCUUAGGUUCGGAAUAACUCCCCGAAAGGGGUGCUAAUACCGGAUAAUGUCUUCGGACCAAAGAUUUAUCGCCUUUGGAUGGGCCCGCGUUGGCUUAGCUAGUUGGUAGGGUAACAGCCUACCAAGGGGACGAUCCAUAGCUGGUCUGAGAGGAUGAUCAGCACACUGGGACUGAGACACGGCCCAGACUCCUACGGGAGGCAGCAGUGGGGAAGAUUGGACAAUGGGCGAAAGCCUGAUCCAGCAAUGCCGCGUGAGUGAUGAAGGCCUUAGGGUUGUAAAGCUCUUUUACCCGGGAUGAUAAUGACAGUACCGGGAGAAUAAGCUCCGGCUAACUCCGU